Molecule: long non-coding RNA, 1332 nt
Organism: Grus americana (Whooping crane)
Lineage: Eukaryota; Metazoa; Chordata; Aves; Gruiformes; Gruidae
Exons: 3
Source: RefSeq, a predicted model, not a curated record
ACCAGGCUGCGUUCGGAGCUCUGCUCUCCAGCUAUCCGUUUUCAGGGACUGGGUCUUCCUCCCUGCAUCCUUACCUCCUUAGGUCUUGAAGACGGGCUUCUUGCUGCCCCCAUCAUCUCGGUUUUGACAGUAACUUCUUAUAACGGGCCAUUUACGGUCAAUUCUCUUCUGGGGUUGCCAUAGAGCUUCCUCACCUGGGUGUCGUGCCCUAUAGGUCGCCUUGCUCGGCAGCCUCUCCGGUCCGGGAGUCAUUCCUCUCGCUAAGAGUGUUCUCUCGUUUGUGAGUUGCGUUGUUUGUAGCGUUCUGUGUAGCGUCUGUCUCUGUGUGUGGUGUGUGUGUGUGGAGCUGCUCUGCCCAGGGCUGUCGAGUCGGGGAUAGGCGGAAUAGCAAUAGGAGCGUACGGUUAGCGUGCCGAUACGGCCCGUCCGGAAUUGUUUGGCUCUCACUCGGCAUCUGGGUGACUUGUUUGAUAACUCGGUGUGAUUUUUCCAGAUGCGGACUGGCUAGAUGCCCACCGACGAGCGGCAGAGGAGGAGAGCAGAGCGCCGUAAGAAGGUGGCGGUCAGGCCUCGGCACGGCAGGCCGAAGAAUCCGACUCCGAGCGGCCGAGGAAAAGGGACAGGCGAGAGGAAGGCGUUUCCAAGGAGGGCUUCGUCGCAGCGGAGGUCGACGCCGGGCGGCACGUCGGCGACCGGCGACGCUCUGUCUCGUGAGGGAUGAAGCGGAACCUGGGGGAUGGGGGAGCGUCCCGGUUAGAUGACCUUUUCCCCAUGAGAAGGGAAUCUGGAUUCUGCCCUCUGAAAGGUCUCUAGGUUCUGCCGCACGCGCUCGGCGAGCAUCCGCGGGGUCCGCGACGCCUCGUCGCUUCGGAAUACGGCCCGUCGAGCGUUUCUCGUCUCGCGAUCGGAGCUUAAAGCGCACCUCGCAUCGCAGAUGUUUCUGCGAGGUGGCCUUUGCGGAGGUGGUCCGUGCCGGACUCACAGUCGUGCUCUAGAAACUUCUGCCUCAAUUGAAGUUUGAUACCAUCUUUCAUCCCUGUAUGCUGUGGGAUGCCGGACUAGUCUAGUCUUGUUGGUGCCGAAUACAGGGCCAUUUUGACCCAGCAGAAGGGGCCUGGGGGAGUCCAGCUUGGGCGAGAGCAGGGAUUGAGCAACUUGCUUAUCUUGCACUGAUAAGCACCGGACCCGAACAGGGGCAGGAGAUGAGCAAUUUGUUCAUCUUAACAAGAUGCGGCGUCUGACGGGUCUACUCCUUAAUCAACUAAGUGACGCCUGGGGUGAGGGGGAGCCUCCUUCGCAGCUCGACCUUACUUUGGUAAAACUAAACAGACC